UGAAGCUGGAAUUGCUAGUAAUGGCAGGUCAGCAUACUGCCGUGAAUACGUUCCCGGGCCUUGUACACACCGCCCGUCACACCAUGAGAGUUGGAAAUACCCGAAGCCUGUGAGCUAACUUAAAGAGGCAGCAGUCGAAGGUAGAGCCAAUGAUUGGGGUGAAGUCGUAACAAGGUAUC
This 179-nucleotide ribosomal RNA is filed under the name uncultured bacterium. RNAcentral describes it as "partial 16S ribosomal RNA". It matches the Rfam family "Bacterial small subunit ribosomal RNA", at positions 1321 to 1500 of the family's 1533-position model. The record is from RNAcentral.